CACUUGUUUACAACCGCUGAACAGGCCUGCAAGUCCGAAGCUGUCACUUUCAUAGAAGAACUGUCAAUUGACGAUAAAAUCAGCUGUUUUUAAACGUCUCGUGAAAAGGCCCACUGACGGAACCGGACUGAACUGUCAUUGUUUUUUGUUUUGUCAUUUGUCGGCGGGAAAAAAAUGAUUGAAGAAUGUAAAUAUUGUAUGGAAAUUAAAGGCAAGAAAGAAUAAAAUUUAUUGUAAUGUAAAACGGGUGGCUCAGGAAUUGACUGGAAAAAAGGAACAGCCAAAGAAGGACAAGUGUCAAGUGAUUAUGGAAAGAGCUUCGGGAAUGCUGAAUACGCUGGCUCAGCAGACGCCUUAACCCUGAGAAUGAUUCGCUACUCUCAACAUCAUCUGUAUCGUCCACACAAGUAGCCUCUAUAUGUGGAGCACCACUGUCACUUCCGCCUAGGCCAGUUGGAAUUGGAAAUUUAGCACCGCCACAGGAAACAGCAUAAUUACCCGGCAGUACCAUAUACCUCCGAAUGAUCCUCAAUGAAUGACCUCGGUUAGGCAGCAGUAACUAUACCAUCUUCCGCAUCCUUGUUCUCUAUGUAAUCAUUGGAAUAUUGGAAUGACAGACAGACAGACUACACAUCGCUGAAAAGCAGAAACGAGGCACUGGUGUGAAUCCGCUACUUCCGCAUUCAUUCAACCAUUGACACCACCAUAGAUUCGAGGAAAACUAUGACGAGGAUGACGGCUUUUGCAGUACAAAGGUGAGCUCUGAAUUGUUGAAUCGGCCGAGGAAUCGGCAAACUCGUAUGUGCCCGAAGGCACUGAGGUAUCCGCUAUGCAGGGAGAAGAAGCUGCCUGUAACGGUAAACCGGCAGGUCCUGUGGCAAUGCAUUCACAGGGGAUAUAUACAACCCACUACAAAACAUUCAUGGAGCAUAAAAGCAACGAGCAGAGCAAAGAGAAUGAUGCGUACGAAGCUGUAUGAAUGCAAACAGCGUAGGUGCAGCGGAUCAGGGAUAAUGCAAAAGAUUUUAUAUAGGCCUUCUGUACCGCAACCUGAUAUCACGAUUCAUCGUCGAAUGGUUACGGUAACGAUCACAGGAGCUACGGUGAAAAUGGCCUAGAGGCGGUGGAAACUAACUCAUUAAUUAAAUCAGAUCGAAAAAAAUCCACAAGAAACGAACAAAAUUUAAUACCUGUCAUUUUUCUUCCAAAAUUUAAUAAUAAAUAAAAUGAAAACAAAUUUUGAAUACGUAAAA
Long non-coding RNA from Armigeres subalbatus, 1253 nucleotides. RefSeq lists it as uncharacterized. The transcript has 4 exons. The record is from RefSeq and is a predicted model, not a curated record. Lineage: Eukaryota; Metazoa; Arthropoda; Insecta; Diptera; Culicidae.